ACCACGUGGCUACAUCAAUUAAUUCUUUAUUGCUGGACUACUUUGGUACUACUGCUUUUAGUAAAGGUUGUGCAGGUAUAAACUUUCCAUUUCACAGACAUCCCAAAAACAAAGUGACUCUACUGCAAAAAAGAAAGACCUGAGGGAGGGAAUUAUGUCUCACUAAGGAUUGCAUCUGUAGCCCAGCACAGCACACUCAACAGGUAAGAUAUUCAACAAAUAUCAUUUGAUGAAACCAUUCGUGCAUUUUAUAAAUGUGUAUCGAUAAAUCAAUAUAUGUCACUUUUAUAGGUUGUGGGGCUAGACAAAAAAGAAGAAGAAAUCACUGUCCUCAUGGAAGUUAAAUUGUAUUGACAAAGGAAGAAAGUGUCAGGCAGGUUAACAAUUUAUUCUCUGUGGCUUCCUCCCGUCCUCUCCCUGAAACUGAGAUCCAGCCAAUCUGGACAUCUAUUCUGAGAGAGGCUCUGCUUUAAUGACUGCACCCAGCUGUCUACACACCAGGAGGGGAGGGGACUGCAUCCUGAGGCACCCCCCAAUGACCCACCCAUCAGCCAUAGGGGCUUCCAGCAACUGGGGCAUCAUCUCCUUCCCGUGGCUUUUCUAACUGGAAUCGGAACUCAGAAGGAUGAAGAAGAAGGAGGCAAUUACACCAGACAGACUGUACCCUGGAAAAUCCACCAUCCUCCCUGGAACAAACACAAGGAAACACUGUGCCCGAGACUGUGACAACCCAGCAUACUCCAUGGCUUCCACUGGUUGUGCAGUCUUAGCAGACAAUCUGCAUCAACCCCUUCACAGUCCAUGAAAUGGGCUUGGCUCCAUUUUUCUGCAAUUAUUGGUCACAUCCAACCCUUUUUCUAAUGUGUUAUAUUAUGAGACAAAGUAGCAAACGUAAGAAGCCAUGUUUGCUCAUUUCUUCUUGCUAGCAUACUUCCACAAAGCCCCUGAGUCUGUGAUGACCUGCAGCUCUCGGGAAAGAUGCUUUAAAGACAAACAAGAUUGAACACACGGCUUCCCAUUGUCUUGCCUGAGUCACUCUACUGCUUAAAAGAUAAGCAAUCAUAGCCCUUGUCUUUUCCUACACAUAAGAUAAUGUCUGAUUGAAGGAUACCUCUGCAACCUAUGACCAGAUCUGCUCAUACAUCCAAACGUUGAUGUAAUUUCGGUUCAAUGUAACUUCUGAGCUAGUUUGAUGCACUGAUUAAUAUGUAAACUACUGACAUCAAAAAGGAUAUGGAUUUGUUUCUGAAUCAUGAAGUUUUACUGAUUAUUUUGUGCAU
Molecule: non-coding RNA, 1280 nt
Organism: Callithrix jacchus (white-tufted-ear marmoset)
Lineage: Eukaryota; Metazoa; Chordata; Mammalia; Primates; Cebidae
Source: RefSeq, a predicted model, not a curated record